AUAAGAAGAGGAAAAAGAAAGGCUGUUUGCCUGAGUUGCAUUGCUCAAUGACAUGAAUAGAAGCUGUUAUUCAAAGAAAUAAAAGCUAUUGCUGGAAGUUUAUUGCAGCCUCCAGAGAGAUCUUCAGGUUGAAAAAUGCAAAGUCCUAGGUAAGAAAUGAAGCAACAUUCAUGUCUCGGGAUAAUAACUACAGCUCUGAUUACUCUUGAAACAACUGACUGGAAGAAACCCAUCAGAUAGUGAAGAAGGGAAGGAUGAAAAAACCUCUCACACAGGCAAGUCAUAACUUUUGACCAGACCAGAGCUAUAACGACCAAUAGGUAUUAAAAUAGUGCAUGACAGAUAGAAUGGCCAUUGUUGUGCUAUUGUAUUGUUGCAUAGUAAUUUGAAUUAAUAUAGCUGCUCAUAAAUAUAAUUAUGCAGAAUAUUUCAUCAAAUUGAAGUAUCCUUAUUCCUCUACUGAACUAUUGUGACAUAUAAUCGCUAGUGUUUUAAUUAGGAUUAGAAAUUCUGCAGGCUCAAAAUCAUUUUAAUUCAAAAUGUUCAUGUUUAGUUUUACAUAUUUACUCCUUAUCUGUGUGAUAAAAUCAUGAAUUUAUUUUCUUACCCUACUUAGAAUAUAUGCUUAUUUUAUUUAGCACAUUUAUGACCCUCCCUUUCCUCCAAAGAGUUUGGGACGAUGUAGACAGCAAUUCCCUUGUAGUAAUUCAGUUUUACAUUUCACAAGUUCCUCAGGGAAAGAAAAAGAGCUGUUGUUUUAAAUAAAUCUUAAACCCUAGUGUUAAGAUUUCCCAAUUUGAACAUCAGAAAAUAAUGAAAGUAUCAAAUUAAUCCUUUCCCUCUACUGUUUUCUGUUGACAAGCCAUUCACAUUAUGGUGGAUCCAUAGCUAUCCACACUAUCCCCAUCAGGUUUUGCUAUAACUAGCAUAGAGAAGAUGGUGUUUCAACCAGAAAAUAUCAAGAAGCAAAUUAUUAGACACCUCCAUUCUUAAUUCCCAAGCUUGUUUGAUGAAAGGAAGAAAAGUAUGGAUUCAAAGUUAUACUUAAAAUGAGAUCUAAAUUGAUCUUCUAGGAAUAUUUGUCAAAAUCUAUCCAACCAAAUUAAUGACUAAAUGAAGAUUUGAAUUCAAAGCAAAAUUCACAUGCUACAUAUACAUCAAAUUUAUCUUAUAUCACUCCUGCUUGUCUUUUCUUUAAAGACAUAAAAUACUUGCACCCUCCUCAGGUGCUAUUGAACAUGUCCAACCAAGGGAUGAUGGGUGUUGCAACAUAAAGCAUGUCUCCACAAUUUGUUGUAUGAGCCCCAUGAAUCACCAUAACAUAAAGUUCUGAACUUGACUAUAAUUUGUAUUUUUCCACAAUAUAUGUCUUAUUGUCUGGGGGGAAAACAGUAUUUUUGAAUACUGGUAUUAAUAUACUCAGCAGCUGAUUUGCAAUAGGGGCAAUUCCUAUAAGCACUGGCACUAAAUUGAUGAGCAACUGGUUUUAUUUAUUUUACAGCUUAGUUGAUUUUAGAUGCAUUGGGUUACAACACCCAAAUUCCAAGCCAAUGUGACUCAAUGAAAAUUUUUGUGUAAAACAUCUGGAAAACUGGAUCAAGGAAAUCUAAUUUCACUUGUGCAUGACAAAAUCAGCACCUUUUUAAACUAUUUUUUUUAUUAAGCCUUUUAAUAAAAUACAUUAGUCUGAAAAGAUGCCCUUAUUUUUAGCUACUAUAAACAAAAACAUAUUUCUUCCUACAAUGUUCUACAAACUAGAGGCACAGACAAAGGGCUUUUAGGAGGAAAACUAGGUUGGGCAAAAUGUUUCCACCACAAAAUGUACCACAGCAAUCAUGUUAUCGGACAUCUCCUGUUAUUCACAAUAGAGGGAACAUUUUAUAUUUCUUAGCAGACUAAAAAGUAAAACCACCUAUCAGAAGCUUCUGUCAAAAGGAUCACAGGUCUCUGAUGACCUUCAACUCAUGUAGAAGAAAAUGAAUUAUGUUUAAUAAAUUGGAAUUUCCUAGGAUUAGGCUACCCUCUUUAAAUGGGAAACAAGAUGAGCUGCUGGGUCAUCAGAUAAUACAAUGGAAUUGA
Ahaetulla prasina is the source of this 2079-nucleotide long non-coding RNA. RefSeq lists it as uncharacterized. The record is from RefSeq and is a predicted model, not a curated record. Lineage: Eukaryota; Metazoa; Chordata; Lepidosauria; Squamata; Colubridae. The transcript has 3 exons.